RNAcentral lists this ribosomal RNA (464 nucleotides) under uncultured bacterium. RNAcentral describes it as "partial 16S ribosomal RNA". It matches the Rfam family "Bacterial small subunit ribosomal RNA", at positions 339 to 795 of the family's 1533-position model. The record is from RNAcentral.
CUACGGGUCGCUGCAGUGGGGAAUAUUGCACAAUGGGCGCAAGCCUGAUGCAGCCAUGCCGCGUGUAUGAAGAAGGCCUUCGGGUUGUAAAGUACUUUCAGCAGGGAGGAAGGGAGUAAAGUUAAUACCUUUGCUCAUUGACGUUACCCGCAGAAGAAGCACCGGCUAACUCCGUGCCAGCAGCCGCGGUAAUACGGAGGGUGCAAGCGUUAAUCGGAAUUACUGGGCGUAAAGCGCACGCAGGCGGUUUGUUAAGUCAGAUGUGAAAUCCCCGGGCUCAACCUGGGAACUGCAUCUGAUACUGGCAAGCUUGAGUCUCGUAGAGGGGGGUAGAAUUCCAAGUGUAGCGGUGAAAUGCGUAGAGAUCUGGAGGAAUACCGGUGGCGAAGGCGGCCCCCUGGACGAAGACUGACGCUCAGGUGCGAAAGCGUGGGGAGCAAACAGGAUUAGAUACCCCUGUAGUC